RNAcentral lists this ribosomal RNA (490 nucleotides) under uncultured bacterium. RNAcentral's name for it is "partial 16S ribosomal RNA". It matches the Rfam family "Bacterial small subunit ribosomal RNA", at positions 30 to 507 of the family's 1533-position model. The record is from RNAcentral.
AUUGAACGCUGGCGGCAGGCCUAACACAUGCAAGUCGAACGGUAACAGGAAGCAGCUUGCUGCUUCGCUGACGAGUGGCGGACGGGUGAGUAAUGUCUGGGAAACUGCCUGAUGGAGGGGGAUAACUACUGGAAACGGUAGCUAAUACCGCAUAACGUCGCAAGACCAAAGAGGGGGACCUUAGGGCCUCUUGCCAUCGGAUGUGCCCAGAUGGGAUUAGCCAGUAGGUGGGGUAACGGCUCACCUAGGCGACGAUCCCUAGCUGGUCUGAGAGGAUGACCAGCCACACUGGAACUGAGACACGGUCCAGACUCCUACGGGAGGCAGCAGUGGGGAAUAUUGCACAAUGGGCGCAAGCCUGAUGCAGCCAUGCCGCGUGUAUGAAGAAGGCCUUCGGGUUGUAAAGUACUUUCAGCGGGGAGGAAGGGAGUAAAGUUAAUACCUUGGCUCAUUGACGUUACCCGCAGAAGAAGCACCGGCUAACUCCGUG